Molecule: ribosomal RNA, 244 nt
Filed under: Limosilactobacillus reuteri
Lineage: Bacteria; Bacillati; Bacillota; Bacilli; Lactobacillales; Lactobacillaceae
Description: Lactobacillus reuteri partial 16S ribosomal RNA
Rfam family: Bacterial small subunit ribosomal RNA
Source: RNAcentral
UUUAUAUGAGAGUUUGAUCCUGGCUCAGGAUGAACGCCGGCGGUGUGCCUAAUACAUGCAAGUCGUACGCACUGGCCCAACUGAUUGAUGGUGCUUGCACCUGAUUGACGAUGGAUCACCAGUGAGUGGCGGACGGGUGAGUAACACGUAGGUAACCUGCCCCGGAGCGGGGGAUAACAUUUGGAAACAGAUGCUAAUACCGCAUAACAACAAAAGCCACAUGGCUUUUGUUUGAAAGAUGGCU